AGUGAACGCUGGCGGUAGGCCUAACACAUGCAAGUCGAACGGCAGCACAGUAAGAGCUUGCUCUUACGGGUGGCGAGUGGCGGACGGGUGAGGAAUACAUCGGAACCUACUUUUUCGUGGGGGAUAACGUAGGGAAACUUACGCUAAUACCGCAUACGACCUACGGGUGAAAGCAGGGGAUCUUCGGACCUUGCGCGAUUGAAUGAGCCGAUGUCGGAUUAGCUAGUUGGCGGGGUAAAGGCCCACCAAGGCGACGAUCCGUAGCUGGUCUGAGAGGAUGAUCAGCCACACUGGAACUGAGACACGGUCCAGACUCCUACGGGAGGCAGCAGUGGGGAAUAUUGGACAAUGUGCGCAAGCCUGACCCAGCCAUACCGCGUGGGUGAAGAAGGCCUUCGGGUUGUAAAGCCCUUUUGUUGGGAAAGAAAAGCAGCAGGUUAAUACCCCGCUGUUCUGACGGUACCCAAAGAAUAAGCACCGGCUAACUUCGUG
Molecule: ribosomal RNA, 492 nt
Filed under: uncultured bacterium
Lineage: Bacteria
Description: partial 16S ribosomal RNA
Rfam family: Bacterial small subunit ribosomal RNA
Source: RNAcentral